CCUACGGGAGGCAGCAGUGAGGAAUAUUGGUCAAUGGGCGCGAGCCUGAACCAGCCAAGUCGCGUGAGGGAAGACGGUCCUGUGUAUUGUAAACCUCUUUUGUCAGGGGGCAAAAGACGCCACGCGUGGCCGUCCGAGAGUACCCGAAGAAAAAGCAUCGGCUAACUCCGUGCCAGCAGCCGCGGUAAUACGGAGGAUGCGAGCGUUAUCCGGAUUUAUUGGGUUUAAAGGGUGCGCAGGCGGCAGGUCAAGUCAGCGGUAAAAUUGAGGGGCUCAACCCCGGCGAGCCGUUGAAACUGGUUUUCUUGAGUGGGUGAGAAGUAUGCGGAAUGCGUGGUGUAGCGGUGAAAUGCAGAGAUAUCACGAAGAACCCCGAUUGCGAAGGCAGCAUACCGGCGCCAAACUGACGCUGAGGCACGAAAGCGUGGGUAUCGAACAGGAUUAGAUACCCCAGUAGUC
RNAcentral lists this ribosomal RNA (459 nucleotides) under uncultured bacterium. RNAcentral's name for it is "partial 16S ribosomal RNA". It matches the Rfam family "Bacterial small subunit ribosomal RNA", at positions 338 to 795 of the family's 1533-position model. The record is from RNAcentral.